AGAUUGUUCACAGGCAGUUACAGAUGAAAAUCGUCAUCUACUCUUCCCCAACCUUCUCACUACUGCGCUUAACAGACUUUAU
This 82-nucleotide small RNA is filed under the name Otolemur garnettii (small-eared galago). Its description in RNAcentral is "Y RNA (ENSOGAG00000023097.1)". The record is from RNAcentral. Lineage: Eukaryota; Metazoa; Chordata; Mammalia; Primates; Galagidae.